RNAcentral lists this unclassified non-coding RNA (671 nucleotides) under Hevea brasiliensis (rubber tree). The record is from RNAcentral. Lineage: Eukaryota; Viridiplantae; Streptophyta; Magnoliopsida; Malpighiales; Euphorbiaceae.
UUAUUGACAAUUAAAUAAAGUUUUGAGAAUUUGUUUCUUGAGAACUUAUUGUUAUGAUUAUUGUUUUCAUAGUUGUAUGGGGAUCAGUAUGGUCAGGUAUGCUUGCUUGUACAGGAUUGUUGAAUGUUUGCUUGUAAUGGUCCCUUGUAUCUUUUGGCAUGCAGAUUGUUUGAUACAAGGGAGUUUCUUCUCAAUUGGUUGAGGCAUAAUUGCUCAACUGAUAGUUUUUUUAUGUGAGAGUGGGAUGAUUAAGUUUGCAUAGAUGUGAAUGGCUUGAAAGUUUUCAUCUAGCCUAGGCGAAUUUUCAUUGUUCAUUUUAACAAUUUGAUUUAUUGGCAAUUGAAUAUGGUGGGAAUAAUUACAGGCAUGCAUAAGAUCAACUUGCUGGCAUUUGUUCGCUUUUUGGUAGUUCAUGCAACUGUUACAUUUAGAAAAGUUUCUUUUUUGCAUCAAGUUACUUCAUGAUGCUUCUAUUUUCUCCUUACAUAAGUAUUUUCCUCCUAAAACUAUUCAAAUACAGAAGAGUACGACUAAUUAGUGUGUGUUUUGGCCCUUAAAUUAGCUGUUGAAGCCGAAAAGGUCGGCAUUUCUAGCUAUUUUCGUAUAUGGAUUAGCUUGUCAAUGGGUUCCACUCUUUUUACUUGAUGCAGAGGAUUAUGAGUGUGGAGAAG